RNAcentral lists this ribosomal RNA (503 nucleotides) under uncultured bacterium. RNAcentral describes it as "partial 16S ribosomal RNA". It matches the Rfam family "Bacterial small subunit ribosomal RNA", at positions 30 to 523 of the family's 1533-position model. The record is from RNAcentral.
AUUGAACGCUGGCGGCAGGCUUAACACAUGCAAGUCGAGCGGGGUGAUGGUGCUUGCACUAUCACUUAGCGGCGGACGGGUGAGUAAUGCUUAGGAAUCUGCCUAUUAGUGGUGGAGAACAUCUCGAAAGGGAGGCUAAUACCGCAUACGUCCUACGGGAGAAAGCAGGGGAUCACUUGUGACCUUGCGCUAAUAGAUGAGCCUAAGUCGGAUUAGCUAGUUGGUGGGGUAAAGGCCUACCAAGGCGACGAUCUGUAGCUGGUCUGAGAGGAUGAUCCGCCCCACUGGGACUGAGACACGGCCCAGACUCCUACGGGAGGCAGCAGUGGGGAAUAUUGGACAAUGGGGGGAAACCUGAUCCAGCCAUGCCGCGUGUGUGAAGAAGGCCUUAUGGUUGUAAAGCACUUUAAGCGAGGAGGAGGCUCUUUCGGUUAAUACCCAAGAUGAGUGGACGUUACUCGCAGAAUAAGCACCGGCUAACUCUGUGCCAGCAGCCGCCGUAA